This is a long non-coding RNA of Myodes glareolus (Bank vole), 3600 nucleotides long. RefSeq lists it as uncharacterized. The record is from RefSeq and is a predicted model, not a curated record. Lineage: Eukaryota; Metazoa; Chordata; Mammalia; Rodentia; Cricetidae.
UGACAUCAGAAAACGGCCCUGAUAGGGUGAGCGUUCUGCGCUGAGCGAGGCAUAGCUGUCCCGGCAGCGCCCAGCCUGAACCCUGAGUGGGCCCGAAUCAGUAGUGCUCGGGCAACUCUGCUCCUCGGAAGCAUUCAUUUGGCCCCUUUGCUUUUUGUCAGGCAGUUCCUUUCUUCAGCGUUGCACGGUCUAUGGCCCUGACUCCGGAGUCUUUCCUUCUCCCACGAAGUGCCGAGGGGAGUUCGCAAGUUCCAGACAGCAUCAGCUUUCUCUCUUUGGAACUUUCAAGGAGAAGGGGAAUUUUACGUUUGUGAGCACCGGGUGGCAGGCCUUCAUGGUGGCCUGUUGAUGGCAAGCACCAGUCUUCAACUGUAGGGACAGAUGCAAAGGGAAUCACAAGACAAAGCCUGUCUGGAACUCAACUGUGGGACGAGAUGAUCACUAGCCAAGCUGCUAGAAGCCAUACAGCGAAGACAUCGUGUGGGUCUCGUCUAGGUUACCUGCUUCCUGCUUGGCUAACAGAGAACCAAAUGAAGUCUCUUGGUGUGGCUUUUGGGACUAGUGGAGCUGAAAGGACCUCCCAGGGUGUCCUUAUCUGAAGCACUGAUGCUUGUUUGGAGUGGAGGGGAGAACAAGAAUAGAGGAGCCAGUGGGAGAAUUUCAUGACUCAAAAGAAGUGAAUGAAUGUAAAAAUGAACAGAGGAUGGGCAAGAAGGAAGCAGCAGGCUGUUUGACUCUGUCCAACCCAGUGAUGACAGAGACUGGAAAGAGCCACCCUCCCAGGUGAGCCCUUUGCCUCAAUCCACGGAGCCACGAAGCCGUCUGUGAGCGGCAGGCAGGACCCUGGCAGAGGCAUGCCAGAGCUUUUGGGACAAUGGCUAGAGCCUUGUGAAGAUCUCCAGAAAUCUCUCUCUCUCUCUGUCAGACAAAACAGUUUAGCCAUUUAGGCUAAUAAGAUAACAUCUGGAGUUCCACAAUCAAAGUUUCAUCUCUAGCCAGCAGCUGGAGUCGCUGACGUCAGCCCUGUACACUACUGUAAAUGGAGGAUGGGAAGGCAGGUUUUGACAGAAGAGAUCGAACCUGAGCCCCGAAGAUGAAAGAUUUUCAGGGACCUGGUGGUGAGGAGAGGGAUGAAUGACCAGAGACAACAGAGUUGCUACCAAGUUGCCUGAGGGCAGUUUUGCAGAGUUCUAACACAUUAUUAGGUGUUUGGCUAUUAACAGAAAUGUCUCACCCACUCGGUCUGACGGUAGCAGCAGCAUCAGUGAGAUGGCUGCAUUAGGCGGCUAAAUCCAUAACCGCUGGCCUCUCACAUCGGGGAGCUUGGCUAAUCCUAACAUUAACAGGUUGCAGGACCUCAUCAACAGUGCCUGCUGCAGAGUGAAGGAUGCUGUUCCCGGGAUCCGGAGGAGACCUAGGGAGCUCUGGGGGAUGGAAGUGCUCAUUCUUACCGGAAAGUCCCCUGAGAGCAGCGGGCUGUUAAAGGAUCAAUGUGGGGGCAUUUUUCUUCAGUCUUACAGGCUGCAUAUUUCCUGGUUAUAAUAGUUCGGAGAAAAAUAUUGCUAAAUGGCUGCAUAAACAAUUUUAAUUGGCCUGGGCUCCCAAAAUGUGCUAUUUUUGUUCUGUUGCCAAGCAUGCUUUUUUACUAGCUAAUUAUGCCCAGCAUUUAACUUUCGACAGAAAAAAAAAGAGAGAAAAGAAAAGAAACAGGAAACAAGGCAUUCAUUAUUGGAGUGACAGCUUUUCGACAAGCCCACAUUUCAACAUCCAUUGUGUAAUUUCCUCUCCCCAGCUUACAGUUAGCUGUUCCAUGAGGCCACUGGAAACAAACACCUCCUUCAGUGGGGGCUGGGAGGUGGCAUGUGCAAUUCAAAAUGCCUGUUUGUUUUCACCUCAGGCAGAGGGACAGGUUCCCUCAGGCCACUGGAGCCCACCUUCUGAAUCUCUGCCUUGUUGGGCUCCUGGCAGAAAUUUCCCAACUAAGGUUUCUGCUGGGUGGUUUGCAACUAAGCCUGGGCUCCGCUGUCAGGGCCUGGGCUCUGCCUGUUGUCCAUGCAACACUUCAAGGCUCCUGGGAAUUUAGGUUUCUUUCAGAGGGACACUUUUUUCCUUCCAGUGAAAUUAUAAAACACAGCUAAUUCCAGUUUGUUAGGUACCUAGUUUCAGAAAAUGAAGUUAGGCUACUUUGUGAGGCUCAUUUUCAACUUACUAUGUGAUAAUUAUCACAGUGUCUGUUGUAUACGCAUAGAAAGCACACAGAUGAUGAAGUAUAUAGCUCAAAUACCAUGGGACUCCCCCAAGGGUCAAUAAUAUAAUUGUUUCCAGUACCCUGAGUGGGAUCCUCAUUACCCUUGUCCAAUCACUAUUUUCCCUUCUUUUUCAAAGAUUCUAAUGUUAUUUAAACUUCAUAUAAAUGGAACCAUAUAAUAUGUGGUGUGUAUAUUUUUAUUUUAAUGUAUGGUAUCUGUUAUUCUACUUGGCUUUGUGCCUCAUAGCUGUACCUCAUUCAGUGUUAUUACUACACACACACACACACACACACACACAUACACACACAUAUUCUAUAUAUCAAUAAAAUGUGGGUUAUCCAUCUAGCAAUAAAGGACAUAGAGGAUUUUUUUUGUAGUCAUUCUGAUUGAUGCAUCUUUGAAUUAGUUCACAUGCUCACACAUUCUGGCUGAGCAUCAGUGAGAAGCUGAUAUGUGGGUCAUGCAUAUAGUUGGGGUUCAUGUUCAAAUUUUACAACUUAGGUCAAACAGUUUGCAAAGUGGUGCAUGCACGUGAGUCCUAUUCCCCUUCCCUAUCAACACUCGGUACUAUUCAUUGUUUUAGCUGUGGCAGUUUUUUGUUGUAUCUCAGUGUUUUAAGUUGCCUGCCAUCCCUAGAUAUUAGCAUGGAAGAGCACAUCUUUAUGUGUGUAUUCAUUAUUCUAUUUAGAAUAGUAGUUGAAAAAUAGUUACAAGUAAUUGAAAUCAGGAAAACAUUACUGCAGAAGGAGAGAGAUUGCUUGGAAGUGCUCUAUUGAAUUAGAGAACUUUCGAGCCCUCAUGGCAGACCAUAGCUGUGCUGGGUAAUGUGGGGGACUCACAAAAGUUCAUCACUGGUUCGCCAGCAAUAUCCUUUAAAGAAAUAAGUCAUUGAUGUCUUCCUAGGUCUUGAAUGUCAAUAUUCUUCUUUGGGUGCUAGGGAUGAAAGCAAGGGUUUUGUGCAAGCACUCUGCCCCUGAACUGCAUUCCAGGCUGCACAUCAAUUAAAGUUUUUUUUUGUUAUUGCAUUUAUUUUACGUGUGUGUGUUAUGUACAUGUUUCUGUGAAUGUGUGUAUGUGUGUGUGCCUCAGAGAAUCUCCUAAAGCUUGUAGAAUUUAUUAAUCCAAACAUAUACUUUCAAGUUUUUCAUUGUUACAUUAAAACCCCUUAUGAGUUCAUGUUUGGGUACAUUUGCAAAGGUCAGACUAUUUCAAAAUUAUAGUACCUUAAGGGCAAACCUGAGGACACAUAAGGACAUAUAGUUAAUUAAUUAAUUAAUCGGAAGGCUUAUGAUAAAUCAAUCAAUUAAUUAGAAGGCAUAUGGUUAACUAAUUAAAAGUCUGAUUCUUUAUA